CUCCUUUGACGUUAGCGGCGGACGGGUGAGUAACACGUGGGUAACCUACCUAUAAGACUGGGGUAACUUCGGGAAACCGGAGCUAAUACCGGAUAAUAUUUCGAACCGCAUGGUUCGAUAGUGAAAGGUGGUUUUGCUAUCACUUAUAGAUGGACCCGCGCCGUAUUAGCUAGUUGGUAAGGUAACGGCUUACCAAGGCGACGAUACGUAGCCGACCUGAGAGGGUGAUCGGCCACACUGGAACUGAGACACGGUCCAGACUCCUACGGGAGGCAGCAGGC
Molecule: ribosomal RNA, 281 nt
Filed under: uncultured Staphylococcus sp.
Lineage: Bacteria; Bacillati; Bacillota; Bacilli; Caryophanales; Staphylococcaceae
Description: partial 16S ribosomal RNA
Rfam family: Bacterial small subunit ribosomal RNA
Source: RNAcentral